This 799-nucleotide ribosomal RNA is filed under the name Cephalobothrium sp. n. 2 AW-2016. RNAcentral's name for it is "partial 16S ribosomal RNA". The stretch from base 368 to 529 matches the Rfam family "Bacterial large subunit ribosomal RNA", at positions 1790 to 2014 of the family's 2925-position model. The record is from RNAcentral. Lineage: Eukaryota; Metazoa; Platyhelminthes; Cestoda; Lecanicephalidea; Lecanicephalidae.
AUUUUAUUAAAUAAUAUUUCAAUACCGAAAGUAUUUGAUUUUAUUAUUAAUUGGGUUUAAAGCCCUUUAUUGAGCCGGGUAGGUUUAAAAUAAAUUAUUUUUACGUUGUGAUAAAUUAUUCGGUUAUACUUAUAUCUGUUUAACAACUUUACAUACUAUACUAGUAUUUAGGCAAAGAUGUCUAGAUAAAUUAAAUAUCAUCAUUAUUUUGUUACAAUUAAAGGGUUAAAGUUACCCACUACUUAUAAUUGUGUUAUAACUUUAUUUAUUAGUUUAUAUAUGAUUUUAUUAAUAAGUUGUUAUUUUUAAUUUUUAGUGUUUUAUUAUGAUUAUAUAAGUAAUAUUAGUACAAUCUGUGUGUCUCGUUAGCUGCCUGUCUGUUUAUUAAAAACAUUUCCACACGAAAUUUUGUGAGGUAGUACCUGCUCUAUGCGUUUUGUAAAUGGCCGCAGUAUCUUGACUGUGCGAAGGUAGCAUAAUUAAUUGCCUUAUAAUUGAAGGCUUGUUUGAAUGGUUUGACAAGGUAGUUUAUGACAUGGUUUGUGUUUUUGAACUUAAUUAUGGGGGCACAGAAUCCCCUUAAAAUUAAUUAGACGGAAAGACCCCGGGAUCUUUUAUUUUUGUCUGGGGCAGAUUAUAAUUAUUCAUUAAUAAAUUAGACCCUAAUGGUGCAUUGGUGUAAGUUACCCCGGGGAUAACAGUGUAAUAGUUUAUUAGAGAUCUUAUCGAAUAAAUUGCUUGCCACCUCGAUGUUGACUUAGGUUUAGACUUGGGCGCAGUAGUCUAAGUUUGUGGUCUG